UCAGAGUAUGAAAAUGUCGAUACAAUUUGUCAUGAAUAACUUAAAUUUCAAGAUUUUCGCGUAUAAAAUUAUGACACGCGCUGUGUGUGCGGCGGCGUAAUUCGCUACUCGUAUAGCCGUCUUGCUUCUUCUUGUAUGUGCUUUACCGUUGCUCACCGCUUCAAGAACAUUGCUGCUCACACACACGUCAGUCUGUGGCAAACAAUUGGAGGGGGAGGAUGUGUCGGUUUGCUCCAGAAAUCGUGUGUGAUUUUGGUGUUCUGGAUUUGGUUCCAUCGCUGUUUGUUUUGGUGAAUUUGAAAAGGUAAGAAUCAUUAACCGAUGUAAAAGUGUGAGAGUAAGAUGAUGCUGAUGGUGACUGAUGCUUUUCUUUGUUUCUUUUCCUGCUUUCAUCCACUGAUGGUGUCGAGCAUCGCCGAGGAUGUGAUCGAAUGCGGAAUAUUCGAAACGAGGAGAUUCAUUCCGGAUUUUGUUUCCAAUAAGCGCUGAACUAAUCCUCCAGCUUACAGGACGGCAAAGGUACACGCACAAACGUGCACACAUCAGCCUUCUCGGAGAACGAGAACACGGGAGGGGGAGACCGGCAACGUAUAGAACCUUUACGCUCCCUCGUGCGUUCGUGCGUGCGUGCGCGGAUGUGUGUGUAUGUGUGUGCAUGCCUGCGUGCGUGGCUGUGUGUGUUUUUGCCGCUUCGCAUAACGAGAUCCUACGGGAUCACCUUGCGAAAAACACCAAGAGAGGGGGAGGGGUAGGUAUGUGUGUAUGUGUGUGAGUAUGUGUGCUUGCAUGCGUGCGUGGCUGUGUAUGUGUGCUUGCAUGCGUGCAUGGCUGUGUAUGUGUGUGUAUGUGUGCUUGCAUGCGUGCAUGGUUGUGUAUGUGUGUAUGUGUGCUUGCAUGCGUGCGUGGCUGUGUAUGUGUGUGUAUGUGUGCUUUUGCUGUUUGGCGAUCUCCUACGGAAUCACCUUGCGAAAACACCUGGGGGGGGGGGGGGGGGAGGAGUGAGGUGUGUGUGUGCUUGCCUGCGUGCUUUGUGUGUGUGUUUUUGCGUUCACGUUCUACGGGAUCACUUUGCGAAAAACACCAAGGGGAGGAGGAGGUGUGUGUGUGUAUGUUUUUUUUUUCUUUGCCGAUUCGCACUCUCUCGCGGAUCUAGUUGUGUGCGUUAGUUUUUUUUUUUAGUUUCUUCGAAAAAUACCUGGGGGAGGAUGUGUGUAUGAAAGAAUGUACUUCAGAAAAGAAAGUGAAAAAUAAAAAACGAAUAUGAAAUAUGUUAAACGAA
Anopheles gambiae (African malaria mosquito) is the source of this 1279-nucleotide long non-coding RNA. RefSeq lists it as uncharacterized. The record is from RefSeq and is a predicted model, not a curated record. NCBI's taxonomy places the organism in Eukaryota, Metazoa, Arthropoda, Insecta, Diptera, Culicidae. The transcript is spliced from 2 exons.